This 465-nucleotide ribosomal RNA is filed under the name uncultured Verrucomicrobiota bacterium. RNAcentral describes it as "bacterial SSU rRNA". It matches the Rfam family "Bacterial small subunit ribosomal RNA", at positions 355 to 813 of the family's 1533-position model. Lineage: Bacteria; Pseudomonadati; Verrucomicrobiota. The record is from RNAcentral.
UCGAGAAUUUUUCUCAAUGGGGGAAACCCUGAAGGAGCGACGCCGCGUGGAGGAUGAAGGUCUUCGGAUUGUAAACUCCUGUCAUUGGUGAACAAAGUCACAGGUUAACUGCCUUGUGAUCUGCUAGUAGCCGAAGAGGAAGGGACGGCUAACUCUGUGCCAGCAGCCGCGGUAAUACAGAGGUCCCGAGCGUUGUUCGGAUUCAUUGGGCGUAAAGGGUGCGUAGGCGGUGGUGUAAGUUGGAUGUGAAAUCUUGGGGCUUAACCUCAAAAUUGCAUUCAAUACUGCUCCGCUCGAGCGCUGUAGAGGAGAUUGGAAUUUACGGUGUAGCAGUGAAAUGCGUAGAUAUCGUAAGGAACACCAGUGGCGAAAGCGAAUCUCUGGACAGCAGCUGACGCUGAGGCACGAAGGCCAGGGGAGCAAACGGGAUUAGAUACCCCGGUAGUCCUGGCAGUAAACGGUGCG